AGGUCAACAACAGCCAAGUUAACCAACAAACCAAUCACACAUACACAUAAUUACAACAACUUUGUCCUCAUAGGAAUGACAUUGUGCAAUAUUGUGCAAUCUGUGUACACUACUAAAUAAUCUGUGACAAAAUGUCCUGCUUUGUUCCAUCUUCUGCUUUCACAACCAGUGCAAAGCAACCAGAUGCAAGAGUGUAUCUACACACACACACACACACACACACAAACACACACACACACGAACCACCUCUGGCUGCCAAAACCCAGAUUUGGCCUCUUCCCCAGGACACAGACAUGCAUAACGGUGCAGCUGGUUUCAGCAUUUUCACAGAGUGACGCAGUAGGCGGGACAUCCGCAACAUAAGCAAAGCUAUUACAGUCAAAUACAGAUUUUGUUGCUUUCUGAUAAAAAAUGAGACCUCCAGGAGUAGAAAUAAAAUAAAGAGACUGGAUCAAUGUCUCUGACAUGGAUCAACACUGAAACGCUGACCACUAACACAACUAAGAAAACAAAGACAAAAAUAUUAAUAGCAGCCCCAAAGAAACUAAAAUGACAGCAGAUGUUGCUUCUUUUAAGACUUGCAUUACAUGCAUACAUGAGAAAUGUCACAUCUGGUAAGAAUUCCUGUUUAUGGGGCCACAUGCAAUAUAAUUGUAGCAGCAUAAAUGGUACGCUGCCACUUUAAGAGCAAUUUCGGCUGCUGCAUAUAAGCAGGUAUCCACCUGCCACGAAGCUGCUUGCGUCAUGACGUCGUAUCAUUUUGGUUCCUGUGUCUGCUGAACUGUGCUGGGUAAGCGUGGCUGUUUCUUUGUUUGUUAGCUUUAAUCUUAGUUAUUAACAUAGUUUGGUCUGCUCUGUUUAGCUUCUUUCGUUGCUCCUCCAAAACCUGGACUGAUCUGUUUGUGUUUGCUUGGUGCUGGGAAGGUAAGGGCUAGCGUGGCUAGAUAACAUCCACCCCAUAUAAAUAAAGCCUUCACACAGCAUUUUGUUACAGCUGCGCUGCAUAGGCGGAAUUGUGACUCCGUUUAUUUGGCAGCCUGGUAAUGCAACAGGUAAGCGGCUAUCAUAAAUACUAGUUUUCAUCAGCAGUUGUAUUGAUGAUCUGUUCUAUUUUUUUAGUUUCCUGAUGAGUCUUUGACCACCAUAACACUGGAUUUGACACUCGCUGCUGUUUUGCCUAUAAGGAACUGUUUUGCCUAAAGAAAUUCUUAAAAGGACCUAUCUGGACUUUCCCCCUGCUGUCGGGAGCAUUGAUGACACUACCAUCCGGAAAAAGUGCAAUAUUGUAGCGCUAUUGUGCCACUGUUUUACUCAUAUUGUUUCAUUUUUGUCUUUCUUUUAGGGACUGAGGCUUCUGUGGUGGCGGUGGUGACCCCUGGUGGCGGUGUCUUGUUUUGUGUGUUUUGUUGGAGCACCUUUUUUUUGUUUGCCGUGUUUUUGUAGUGUCCAGGGUGAUCCCUUUUCUUCACUGGAUGUUGCCCCUUUUCUCACCACUUCCCCCCCCCCCACUGGCAAAACAGCAGCGAGCCCAUUAAUCACAAAGGAUCCAGGUCAUGGAGGAGGAGGAGAUCCAAGAAAUGCGGGACUUGAUUGCCCAAUUGAAAGCAGACAACGAACGAUUACGACAGGAACAGUCACGCUCUGCCCCAGCUUCUUUCGUUGCUCCUCCAAAACCUGGACUGAUCUGUUUGUGUUUGCUUGGUGCUGGGAAGGUAAGGGCUAGCGUGGCUAGAUAACAUCCACCCCAUAUAAAUAAAGCCUUCACACAGCAUUUUGUUACAGCUGCGCUGCAUAGGCGGAAUUGUGACUCCGUUUAUUUGGCAGCCUGGUAAUGCAACAGGUAAGCGGCUAUCAUAAAUACUAGUUUUCAUCAGCAGUUGUAUUGAUGAUCUGUUCUAUUUUUUUAGUUUCCUGAUGAGUCUUUGACCACCAUAACACUGGAUUUGACACUCGCUGCUGUUUUGCCUAUAAGGAACUGUUUUGCCUAAAGAAAUUCUUAAAAGGACCUAUCUGGACUUUCCCCCUGCUGUCGGGAGCAUUGAUGACACUACCAUCCGGAAAAAGUGCAAUAUUGUAGCGCUAUUGUGCCACUGUUUUACUCAUAUUGUUUCAUUUUUGUCUUUCUUUUAGGGACUGAGGCUUCUGUGGUGGCGGUGGUGACCCCUGGUGGCGGUGUCUUGUUUUGUGUGUUUUGUUGGAGCACCUUUUUUUUGUUUGCCGUGUUUUUGUAGUGUCCAGGGUGAUCCCUUUUCUUCACUGGAUGUUGCCCCUUUUCUCACCACUUCCCCCCCCCCACUGUUCUUGGUACCAAUGAGACGUGCAAUGGAGCAGAAGUUGUUAAAGUAUGUGCCGUGCAGCACCCUGAAGAGUGACUCCUCUGCCCCACUCCACUGGACCACACAGCACUCCUGAUGCUCCAUUUCAUCUUCACCUGGGCGCAGCUUGGUUGGAGUCUGGCAGCGAGAAUUUCCCUCUUUAACACACACACACACACGCACGCACACACACCGGCAAAAACACGGCUUUGUGAAAAGACAAGAAAAAAAUUGUUUCAUUCUUUUUGGAAAAGUGUUUGAAGAUCUUACCUGCCUUUAAAACACAUUCUUUCUUUUAUUGUUGAAUAUUGCAUCUUGUCAUACCAACAAAGGAAAGUGUAUUAAAUUUGGAUUUUAUGUGAAAGACGAAAUUUUUUUAGUUUUCUAAAUUUUAUUUGCAAGGAAAA
This is a long non-coding RNA of Gambusia affinis (western mosquitofish), 2722 nucleotides long. RefSeq lists it as uncharacterized. The transcript is spliced from 4 exons. The record is from RefSeq and is a predicted model, not a curated record. NCBI's taxonomy places the organism in Eukaryota, Metazoa, Chordata, Actinopteri, Cyprinodontiformes, Poeciliidae.